This 230-nucleotide small nuclear RNA is filed under the name Pteropus alecto (black flying fox). RNAcentral describes it as "7SK RNA". It matches the Rfam family "7SK RNA". From Rfam's summary of the family: 7SK was discovered as an abundant small nuclear RNA in the mid-70s but a possible function has only recently been suggested. Two independent studies have found that 7SK RNA binds the CDK9/cyclin T complex (known as elongation factor P-TEFb). The record is from Rfam by way of RNAcentral. Lineage: Eukaryota; Metazoa; Chordata; Mammalia; Chiroptera; Pteropodidae.
GGAUGUGAGGAUGAUCUGGCUGUAGCAUCUGUCAUUUUAGUGAUUGCCAGGGUUGAUUUGGCUGAUACAACUGGUAAGGCAGCUGUCCCCUUCCUCCCUCACUACUUCUUGUGACUACUAUUCCUUCCAUUCCAUACGAUACACUAUUCUAAAAUACUACACAUAUUAUUGUAUUUUUAGGUAAGUUUUCCAUAAUGCAUUAAUAUAUUUAAUACCUUUUAAGGUUUUUA